This is a small nucleolar RNA of Laticauda laticaudata (blue-ringed sea krait), 141 nucleotides long. Ensembl annotates it as small nucleolar RNA, H/ACA box 13. NCBI's taxonomy places the organism in Eukaryota, Metazoa, Chordata, Lepidosauria, Squamata, Elapidae. The record is from Ensembl.
UGCCUUUAGUGUUGCCCAUUCGUUUUGGUUGCUAAUGAAUGUGGUGUCAAAUAAGGCAUAAAGGAAGUUUUCCCUAUUGCAGCCUUUUUCUUUGCAACAUUAGGAAUUAUUCCUAUGGAGUUUGCUGCAUAUGGAACAAAA